UUCUCAACCACUUCACUAUCUUCAAGUAAUAUUGAAUAUAGACUUCGUAGUUGUAAGGAUUAAACUAUUAAUCAUUAAAUACCUUGCAUCAACUCAAUUACAGGACACAAUCUAUAAUAACUCUAUUAUUACCAGUAGAAAUGACUAAAUCUAGUAAACUCAAUACACAUACUAACUUUAGUCUUGUAAUGUCAACUAACUCUAGCUGACGUUGUUACAAUAGAUAAAAAAGAAUGUUACAAACAAACCUCGAACAACUUUACUACAAAGAGUAGGUUUACACUGUUAAUAACACGAAACAAAGACUUAAUUACAACAAGAACUCAUGACAAAACAACUUUGAUCAAGCAAAUCCCUAUUGCGGUUGAGGUUGUGUUAUGCUUUAUCUUCAAGAGAAAUUUUUCCUUUUCCAAUCCAAAGAACUAGGAUUUUUUUACCAUUUUUUUGCAUAUAUAUGACACAUGAAAAUUCAGAACUCUUCUCAAUGGUCAAGGUAAAAAGGUUGUUGCACUUCUUCCACCGUAUCCACCAACUUCCUGCCAAAAGAACACAGAACGAUUGUAGUGAUAACUUGCCAAAAAGUGAACAAAACCAUUGCACCUAGUCCCUGAAGGUUUGUAUUCAUCAUCAGAAUUAUGCCAGUGUCUCUAUAGGAACUAAGUCCCUACAAUGGGUUGUAUAUCAUCAAAACUGAGGACUUAACAAAUAAUAUUCCUCCAAUUAGAGUUUUAAGGUUCACUUGUGGUUGCCCCAUCAUUGCUAAAAUCAUGCCACCAGUAGAGCUCUUCUCUAUUUUUGGUAGUAUCUCCUCGGUUUGUUGUUUGUUUAUGUUAUUCUAUAGUUACCCCCUCUCGGUUAUUAGGCCAGACUAGGCAACCUAUGCGAACAUGCAUUGAGAUAAUAUUUUAAUCAUUCUGAUGUGCAUUUUGAUUCAGAAGUCAUAAUCUUAAUUAAAAACAAUUGAGACUUAAAUAUUUCACGAAGAGAAAUUAUAUUUCAAUACAUAAAUAAGGGUAAAAUCAUCAAAAACUGCUAGUAAUUAAUAAUUUCUUACAUUUUGUUUGGAUGGUUGUUGCAUAUUAUUUCAUAAUAUAGAGUAAUAUGUUGUGUUGUAUUGUAUCAUACUGUAUUUUUUAAUGAAUACAAUGUUUUUAUAUAUCGUAUCAUUUUUCAGGGUUACAUAAUAUCACACAUCAAUAAUUUUAAAGAUAAACUUGCAAGAAAAUAUAGACACAAAAUGUUUCAAACACACCCAAUCAGUCUUAAAAGAAAUACGACUUUUUAUUAUAACCUAACAAUGAGUUUGUCACAAUCCUAACUCCAUCUCGGGUGGUACCCAUACAAACCCUUUGAUGGGAGAACCAUCAAAUCCGAAUAUCCCACACCAACACUAAUCAUUUUCAAAUGAUAAAGAAGGAAAUUCCAUAUUAGUAACAAUAUCUAACAGUUCUACACAAAUCAAUGCGAAAAUAAGUCAAAAUGUCUAAAAUGCCUCCAAAAACUUAAGGUCAUCGUACCAAAACAUCUAAACAAAAUAAUUUAUGAAAACAACCUGGAAAACUAGCAAUAAUUAAACUAUUUGUGCCUGAAACAAGUGAACAAGAACAUAGUUUAGGAAGACUCAUGGCUACUUAAAAGAUAAAGUUCACCCCGGAGUCAGAAAUCGAUCACUGUCUACAACCAAGUCUCGUUUGAGCCACUGAAAAAUGCUCCGUACUCAACAAAAAAAAGAGCACAGAGUAGUAUCUGUAUAAAAUCACUGUGUACUAAUAGAGUCAUAGGCUAACUCAACUUAAUAAAUAAACAAAUAACCAAUAAUUUGUAAACAAAAGCAACCAUGUAACAAUUAGCAAUUAUGCCUUCACUUAACCAGUCUUUACAUAUUCAAUUAACCAAGUAAUUAAGAAAAAGCAUAGUACAAGUACACAUAAUCAUCCUAGUCAAUUACCAUGACUCAACCUCGUCAUAAUUACCUCUUUAUUAAACUUCAACAAUAUUAACUCAGUUCAAGUAUCAAUAGCCCAAACCAUUUAUGGAUCUAAAUAAAAACAAUAACAUAAUUCGGUUCACUCAAGAAAUCAAAAUAGCAACAACAAUAUAACCUCGUGCACUUGUGACAUAGUCAAACUCUUUAAUAUUGUUUCCGUACAUGCUAUGGGUCCUAUAAAUACUCACUAUCCAGGACCUAUAGGGGCCGAGUUAAGUACAUGGAUCAAAUAAUCCAGACAACUUGUGUCUAUCACGAUUAUCCUAAAUCAAGUGUUAUACCACUAUUAUUCCCACAUUUCCACCUUUAUGCUCUUUAAGAUCUAUCAAUUUCAUGACGAUUAGCCUUUAAUAGUUUAUCUCAUAAUAUUGAUCCAUGUCAUAACAUGUACAAUCACAAUAUGAGAUAAUUUAAUCACACUUGUGUUUUAAAAUAAGAUUUUUUACAUAAUCUCAUUUAGCUUAUCAAACAUGUAAAAUUAUCCAAUAAAGGCAUGCACUGUAAUAGUAGUCAAAUAGGCAGUUAAUAUGCACGCUUAAAUCAAUAUGAAUUUUUAACUCCAAUCCAACCACCACCUAGCUUGAUACAAGCCUGCAAUGCUCUAUCAAACUCGAGCUUUACUUUUUCUUGCAAUUUCAGUUUGAUUAUGGUCUAAAAACAAUAAUAUAAGCACUAAUGAAAUAAUGCUCUAACAAUUUUAAGAAUUACAACUUAAUCUCAUAAUUCCAAGGUCAAAAUCAUAAUAUUUCCCUAUUCUAGGGUUUUUCUAUCUUCAUUCCACUUUAAUUCUAUCAAAUUUAUGUUUUCAAGAAUGCAUUAUAACCAUAUUAUAAAAGUUCUUCCACCCUUGACCAAAACCCAAGGAUUACACCUUAUUUUUACUACUUUGCAUCAAAAAAUAAACCUAGGUCAAGUUAAUUCCUCCAUCAUGAUCAAAACCUAGUGAUUCUAAGAAUUAAUCACCAAAAAACUAGUUAAACAGGUGGAUUAAACUUACCUUAAUAAAGAAAUUCAAGUGGAAACUGAUGGAAUUCACCCCCAAUCCCCUCUUUUAAUUUUGAACGGGUUUGGGACGAAAAUAACAUUUAAGUCUAAAAACUGAAUUUCACUGUGUAUCCUACUAUAUCAGCCUGAUUCCCACUAGUGGCCUCGUUAUAACAGAACUAACUAAAGUUGACUUUUGCUAUAAGGGAAAAAUUCCUACAAUAGUGGGCUCGUGUUAGUGGCUUGCCUCUCACUAUAGUGGCCUAAGGAGGUAGAAAACUGACAAUCUCAUAUUUUUGUCAAUUUUAUGAUACACAUCUAGAUUGUGACAUCCCGAAUUAACCCAUUUACGUCAAAUGCUACAUUCAGAGUUCUACUAAUUAAAAUGAAUUUUGAACUCCUUAUCCUCUUAGUUAUCAUAUUACGAUCUCAAAUCACAUAUUCAUUAACCGAUUCAUUACUAGAUUUAGUUAACUAGACCACAACACAUUUGAAAUUUGUCCAAGACUAAUCUAACCUGAAAUGCCUAACACUUCACUCGAUGUUACAUCCUGGGUUUUGGCCCUUAGAAUUUUUUUUGGAAUUCCGUUCUCUGGACCCAAUAUGACUCAUAGGUACGAGCUAUAUGCUGGGGCACGAGUGGUAUAAUCCUAUCAUAUACUGACCAGUGUUGGUUUGUGGGAUGGAUGGGUUACUAAAAUGGAUACGACUUAGGGGAUAUGAGUCGUAUUGUUGCAUAUAAGUCAUAUCUUGUACUCGUAUAGGGGACAGUGUUAAAUCCUCUUGGUAUUCUAUUCUGCUAGGGAUAUAGAUAGUAGGUAUGAAUCGUAUUUUGUAUAUACGACUUGAUUGGAUGAGUCGUAUACUGGAUAGUGUUGGGUCCAAGGUUUAGGGUAGGAUACGAGUGGUGGGUAACACUCGUAUUGGAAGGGUACGACUCGUAUGGGUCAGUCGUAUCCCUAUGUGAUGGAAUUUUUAUGUAACUUAAGUGAGGGUAUUCUGGAUAUUUUUCUACUUACCCUAAUAGGACCCCGCGACUUCUAACCUACUUGGAAGAGUAUUUACCCUAUUAUUCUAUUCAUAAACACUUAGAAACUAUUCCUAAACACUUCAUAAUUCUCUCAAAAACUUUUGGGUCAAGAAAGCUAGGGUUUCAUCUUGAGGACUAAUUUGGGGCUUUCUUUGGUGAUUUUUUUCACCAAUUCUUCUAUAUAAGGUGUGUUCCCUUUCCUCAUUGUUAGUUUCAACUAAAGGAAUGGUUUUCAUUAUUGGUUUUCAUGAUUUCAUUAUUGUGUUAUUUGGAUUUUCAAAUAUAAUUUGGGGGUUUUAUUUAUAAAUACUUGGUUAUGGUUUCCCAUGGUUUUAAUUAUUCUUUUAUAUGCGUUAAUGGUGGUUUUGGAUAAUGAGAAUACAUGAAAUGGUUAUUGGUAAUUGGAAUUGAUUUUGGAUAUAUACUAUGCCCCUAAUGUUUUUGACAGAAUGCUUAUAAAGAUAUGUUCAUUGCAUUGAUCACUUUUAAAUAGAACUCUUGCUUGUUUUAAACUUAGUAAAGGAUUUAUGUAUGGUUUAAAUGGUUUGAAAAUAUAAAUGGCUAAAUAUUUAUGCUUGUGGGGUACGGAUUCCCCCAAGAGGUUUAACAUGGUGAACGGAAGGACACUUAAAAGUCCCCUUAAACUUACAUAUGGUUGGCUAUGGAUGGUAAUUGCAAGUGUGGUUGGUAUGACGAUACCACCACUAAAUGGCCUUGGUUAAUAAAUGGUAAAUGGAUUGCUUGGAAAUGAUUUUAAUUAGGCAUUUAAGGGGCAGGUGUAGCUAAGUCGUGAAAGGUAGAGGUUCCGAGGGGAUCGAAACUGAAAACUCAUAUUUAUCAGUAUAAGGUUGGUCUUGGUGGACCGUGUGCAUGAUGUCACACCUCAUAUUGGGGGAUGUAAUAGUCAUCCCAUGGGAUAUUUUCCUGGUCGCCUGGCUACACCCACUGGGGCUCUUUCAGCAGGAGAAGCUAAACUCAUAUUGCCCGUGGGUGGUUUAGGACGAAAAAGCUACACAAUCCAGGUAAAGAUUUUAAAUGCAUGCUAAACUCGAUUUCCUUUUCUGGCACUUAUAAAUAUGUAUGGUUGUAUGUAUUAUGGAUGGUUUUACUUGAUUUUAUAAUUGGCAUUAUUUUAUCCUUAUCCUGAGUUCAUGUUAGCGAUCACUCACUAACCCGUCUACUAGCGGUUGUAUACCCACGCUAUGAAGGAACUGGUUAUUCUACUCCUCAUGUCUAGCAUUUAGAUUUUGAUAUUAGUAUUGGACUGAAGUGGUGAGCUUCCAUCCUUUUGGAAGGCUCCAUUUCAUGUUAUGGAUAUCCUUGGACACUUUUAUUUUAUUAUGGAUAUUGGUUUUACCAUGGUUGGGGGCAUGUCCCAACCGGAUAUUUUUACUCUUUCGAUUAGAGGCUUUGUGGUACUUCUGGGGGUUGGUAUGGGUGGGAUCAGUAUUGGUGUUUUCCUUAGUAUUGGUAUUGGUGUUGGGGAUUAUACCCUGGGACGUUAUUGUUGGUUGUUCCAUCGUAUUAUACUUUGGGAUUGAUCAUUAUAUUAUCUUUUGGUAUUCUCUUAGGCUAUGACCUAGUUUAUGGCCUUUGGUUUAGCUUGGUAUGGUUGGAUGGUUGGUUUAGUACGAUUAGACUCGGUUGGGGUGGUCACGGUUGUGAUCCUAUCCCAAAGUCUUCAUGAGAGCAUUUAUGCUAUCUUGUUAUAAGCUCGAAAUUCAGCCCAUCAAAGGUGGCAUAAGGUGGUUGGGUUGGGUAACAGGGGGCGGUCCCCAAUCCUAGUUGGACUUGGGAUGCCCAUUACGUCUAGGCCCUGAUUCGGAUCGUGACACUCGAGUAGAAUCUUAACCCAAAUUUUGACAUGCUAAGUUAUAGCAUAACGACGGAAGGGGUCAUUACAGAAUUUAAAAAUAUUAUACAAUAAAUUUAAAUAACAAUCAAAACAAGCAUUGCAGUUAAACUGACAACUCAGCACACUACAAUAGAUGAUAACCAUCUAAAUAAGUUGUCAAGAAACGUGUAAAUGAGAAACACGACAAAUUUUAAAAGCUUUCAAGAAACGUGUAAAUGAGAGACACGACAAAUAUUUUGAAACAGAAAGAGUAACCCCCCACCCCACCACCACGCUGCCGCCUCCCCUCCCCUCCCCCCACCUCUCUCUACCUUCAAUCCCUUAUAAAAAGGAGCCCUUUUCUCCUGUCAAAAGCAUCUAUAGUUCUUCACAGUCCUUCACCAAAUGGACUGCUAUAUCUUUUAGUUUCAUUUAUUCCCAUUUUUUUUUCCAUUUAUUUCUAGUAAAUAUCCAUCGUUUUCAUUAAAAAAAAGUUCUCCUUCGCAUCAUGAAAAUUACAUUCAUUUCUCUUUAUUUGCAAAGUCUUUUUUAAAACUAGAGGAUUUUACUUACAUUAAAUACUUUUAUAUAUAUAAGGGGACUUGUUUUUAGUAUAUAUAGAUACAAUCUUUUAAGGCAUUUCAAUUGCACCUGUUAUGGAUUUUGCAAGUUCUAACCUUUUUUCUGCAGAAGACACCAACACCAUUCUUGAAAAUGAGUACCAUGAUGCUGGCACAUUGGUUCCUAGGAAUCAUCAAAACAGUCAGCAAACACAGAUUUUGAUUGGUGUGCCAUUACAGAGUGAUGAAUGUGUG
Molecule: long non-coding RNA, 6650 nt
Filed under: Capsicum annuum
Lineage: Eukaryota; Viridiplantae; Streptophyta; Magnoliopsida; Solanales; Solanaceae
Description: long non-coding RNA (CANN_LNC018634)
Source: RNAcentral